This is a long non-coding RNA of Eurytemora carolleeae, 201 nucleotides long. RefSeq lists it as uncharacterized. The transcript is spliced from 3 exons. Lineage: Eukaryota; Metazoa; Arthropoda; Copepoda; Calanoida; Temoridae. The record is from RefSeq and is a predicted model, not a curated record.
GUUAGGGGACGGGGGUAUUUAUUGUAUUAUCUGAAAAAAUAGAAAGAUCCUGUUCUACUUGAAGUACAUGUUUUCCAAACAAGAGAAUUUUCCGGAACUAUGCAAGAGACAGAGGAGAUGAGACCUCAAUGGUUUAAAGAAGAUCAGAUUCCUUAUGAUAAAAUGUGGGCUGAUGAUCAAUACUGGUAUCAGCACAUGUUU